Molecule: long non-coding RNA, 1059 nt
Filed under: Homo sapiens (human)
Lineage: Eukaryota; Metazoa; Chordata; Mammalia; Primates; Hominidae
Description: non-protein coding lnc-ZC3H12D-19:1
Source: RNAcentral
AUAUGCUCAUACCUCUUUUUGAGAAAUAAGUAGAUAUAAUUAGAGCAUAUGGAUACAGCAAGGGAUCCUUAAUUCUCAAAUAAUCUGGGGCCAUAACUUUAUAAUCUACUUAGAGAAUUCAUUUAAAAUAACAAAUAUAUUAUCAUUUGAUAAUAUAUUUGCUGGUUUAGCAUUUGAAUGAAAUUAACAAGUUAAAAAGGAAGCUUUCACUAUCUUUAUCACUCUAAUUUUAGAAGAGGUUUGUAAUUAAAAUACAACAAAAAAAUUAGCCAGGCGUGGUGGUGGGCAUCUGUAGCCCCAGCUGCUUGGAAGGCUAAGACAGGAGAAUCACUUGAACCCAGGAGGUGGAGGUUGCAGUUAGCCGAGAUUGUGCCACUGCACGCUAGCCUGGGCCACAGAGUGAGACUUCAUGUCCCCCCGCCCCGACCCCCCGCAAAAAAAAAAAAUGUAUUUUCAACAUUGAAAAUUUCACAAAGGAGUAGAUUUUAGAUCAGGUCUGAUGUAUUUUGAGGUCCAAUGCUGGUUGAUGUUCUCGUAUAUUAUUAUCAUUAAUAUUUUUAAUACCAACAGUGGUUAUAACAGCCAGAUCCUGAGAAUUUUUCAAAUUUGAGAUCUCACAUAGAGAGUAUAAGACUUAAUAACUGCCAUCAAGUAAUAUUUAGGUCACACAAAACAUUGCAAUUUAAUUGAAUGAGACAAAACAUGCAGAGAUGCCUGGCUGGAUGUCCAGCUCAGUGGCUGGAAUAGCAGGAGCUCAAAAGCUUAUUUAAUUUGACCUGAAUCAGGCUUAAAGUAUGUGUUUAUAUUUUCUAUGACUCUUUUAUUCUAUGAAAAUGAAACAUUAUAAGAAGAGAUGUAACAACAACAACAACUAAUAUCUAUCACAAUUUAUAAUUUACUUACUAUAGGACUAUAGGCCUACUCUAUGGAAGCAGGAAGUGCUGAGAGCCUUAUAUUCCUUUUGCUACUAACAGGGAAGUACUUCACAGUGCCAAAAAUUGUCAGAAAUGAUUUCCUCAAAGCCACACAGCUGGCAAAUGCCAGACCUUGAGCCCACAU